This 613-nucleotide ribosomal RNA is filed under the name uncultured Alphaproteobacteria bacterium. RNAcentral describes it as "bacterial SSU rRNA". It matches the Rfam family "Bacterial small subunit ribosomal RNA", at positions 49 to 708 of the family's 1533-position model. The record is from RNAcentral. Lineage: Bacteria; Pseudomonadati; Pseudomonadota; Alphaproteobacteria.
UAACACAUGCAAGUCGAGCGGGCCCUUCGGGGUCAGCGGCGGACGGGUGAGUAACGCGUGGGAACGUGCCUUCUGGUUCGGAAUAACCCUGGGAAACUAGGGCUAAUACCGGAUACGCCCUUUUGGGGAAAGGUUUACUGCCGGAAGAUCGGCCCGCGUCUGAUUAGCUAGUUGGUGGGGUAACGGCCUACCAAGGCGACGAUCAGUAGCUGGUCUGAGAGGAUGAUCAGCCACACUGGGACUGAGACACGGCCCAGACUCCUACGGGAGGCAGCAGUGGGGAAUAUUGGACAGUGGGCGCAAGCCUGAUCCAGCCAUGCCGCGUGAGUGAUGAAGGCCUUAGGGUUGUAAAGCUCUUUUAUCCGGGACGAUAAUGACGGUACCGGAGGAAUAAGCCCCGGCUAACUUCGUGCCAGCAGCCGCGGUAAUACGAAGGGGGCUAGCGUUGCUCGGAAUCACUGGGCGUAAAGGGCGCGUAGGCGGCGUUUUAAGUCGGGGGUGAAAGCCUGUGGCUCAACCACAGAAUGGCCUUCGAUACUGGGACGCUUGAGUAUGGUAGAGGUUGGUGGAACUGCGAGUGUAGAGGUGAAAUUCGUAGAUAUUCGCAAGAACA